This 406-nucleotide ribosomal RNA is filed under the name uncultured bacterium. RNAcentral's name for it is "partial 16S ribosomal RNA". It matches the Rfam family "Bacterial small subunit ribosomal RNA", at positions 30 to 526 of the family's 1533-position model. The record is from RNAcentral.
AUUGAACGCUGGCGGCAGGCCUAACACAUGCAAGUCGAGCGAGCGGCGGACGGGUGAGUAAUGUCUGGGAAACUGCCUGAUGGAGGGGGAUAACUACUGGAAACGGUAGCUAAUACCGCAUACCAUCAUAUGUGCCCAGGUGGGAUUAGCUAGUAGGUGGGGUAACGGCUCACCUAGGCGACGAUCCCUAGCUGGUCUGAGAGGAUGACCAGCCACACUGGAACUGAGACACGGCCCAGACUCCUACGGGAGUCAGCAGUGGGGAAUAUUGCACAAUGGGCGAAAGCCUGAUGCAGCCAUGCCGCGUGUGUGAAGAAGGCCUUCGGGUUGUAAAGCACUUUCAGCGGGGAGGCGUUACCCGCAGAAGAAGCACCGGCUAACUCCGUGCCAGCAGCCGCGGUAAUAC